UGCUCACUGAUAUAAUUUGUUAAAGAGCUGCGGUAUAUUGACUGUACAAAGGUAGCGUAAUCAUUAGUUUUUUAAUUGAAAACUUGUAUGAAUGGUUUGACAAAAUAAAUAUUGUCUCUAUUAUUAAAAUAAAAUUUAACUUUUAAGUGAAAAGGCUUAAAUAUUUCAAAGUGACGACAAGACCCUAAAAGCUUUAUAUUUACUUUUUUUCUUUUGAAAUUGAUUUAAUAUAAAUUAAAGAUGUACUUAAUUAGUUGGGGCGACGUAUAAAUAAUUUUAUUAACUUUAUAAUAUUUAAUACAUUUAUUUAUGAAUAUCUAAUAGAUCCUUAUUAAAGAUUGGAGUAAAGUUACUUUAGGGAUAACAGCGUAAUUUUUUUUGAGAGUUCAUAUCGAAAAAAGAGAUUGCGACCUCGAUGUUGAAUUAAAAAUUCUGUUUAGUGUAGCAGCUAAGUAAGAAGGUCUGUUCGACCUUUAAUUUUUUACGUGAUCUGAGUUCAGACCGGA
This 506-nucleotide ribosomal RNA is filed under the name Urnalana hirsuta. RNAcentral's name for it is "partial 16S ribosomal RNA". It matches the Rfam family "Bacterial large subunit ribosomal RNA", at positions 1860 to 2620 of the family's 2925-position model. The record is from RNAcentral. Lineage: Eukaryota; Metazoa; Arthropoda; Malacostraca; Decapoda; Leucosiidae.